UGCGGGGUAGUUGCUGUUGGUAGUGACGCCUGGCUCCGGGCACCGACCGAUAAGUUGGUCGCAGGAGGCCGUUGGUUCGAUUCCAACUUCCGCAG
RNAcentral lists this transfer RNA (95 nucleotides) under Planctomycetaceae bacterium. Its description in RNAcentral is "tRNA-OTHER". The record is from RNAcentral. Lineage: Bacteria; Pseudomonadati; Planctomycetota; Planctomycetia; Planctomycetales; Planctomycetaceae. RNAcentral also lists the same sequence under 1 other name.